Ipomoea triloba (trilobed morning glory) is the source of this 2069-nucleotide long non-coding RNA. RefSeq lists it as uncharacterized. The record is from RefSeq and is a predicted model, not a curated record. Lineage: Eukaryota; Viridiplantae; Streptophyta; Magnoliopsida; Solanales; Convolvulaceae. The transcript has 6 exons.
AAUUUCAUUUGUUUUUAAUUUUAUUUUUUACUUCUCUUCUACGGUCGCGCUAAACUUGCCACCGCACCAAUAUCGUCUCACGUCUCUCCCCGAGUCCCCGACUUUUCUCUCUUCCAUUAACUAGCUCUUCGUAACGCCGGCUGCAGGAUGAUUUCUGAGACCAAAUCUUCUUAAACCUUUUUCUUCUGAUUGUUUGCCUUCUAAUUCCUUUCACCAUUUUCCUUUCUAUGUUUUCCGCUUCUGAUUUGGAAGAAUUUGUCGAGAGUGACCAGUGCGAGGAAGAGUGGAUUGAGCUCCCAUUUUGCCGAUGUGCUUUUCGAUACUGAUUCGCUGGAUGCUAUGCACCUCCGGAGAUUCCUAAACACCAUCAACUAUUCAACUGGUUUCAUAAUUCUUUGCAGAGCACAAACAUCCUAUAAGAGAGCACAAACAUCCUAUAAGAGAGAUGAGCGGAGAGACGAGGAGCUAAGAGAAUUUCAAGUGGUGUGCCUUUGAGGUUGCUUAGUCCAACCGUCUCAGUCAUAUCAAUUCCUUCACGAGAGACAUUUGAAAGCUCAAAGGAAUGCAACAAAUUGGCUAAGAUCAAGUGCAACAUUUGAAGACUAAAAGUUGUUCCUGGACAUAUUCUUCUACCAAUACCAAAUGGAAUCAACUCGAAAUUUCGUCCAAAAACAUCAACCUCCUUAUGGCAAUUAAUAAAUCUCUCAGUUCUUCUUGAGCCAUCUUCAACACAUGGGGAUUGUUCAUCAUCAAAGACAAAGCCCAGGAAUUUUAAGAAUAUCUGGAGGACUUAAAUUCAGGAAUGAUAAUUUGAUAAACAUAGAUCAUAUACCAUGCAAGUAGCUUUGAUGGCGGUGUCAGCACUGCAACCAUUAAGAUCAAUCCCUUCUAUUCGUGAAAGCAUCGCAUCCAUGAAAUCUUUCUCGUCGUCACAGACAGUAGAUUCAUCACCCUUGGCGUCUUUCUUCCGACGGUGCUCUUGUAGCCAUUCGUCAACAAGAGAGUCCAUUUCCUUAGCAACUUUCUUCAUAGUUUUCUCAUACCCUCCAAUAUCUAGCCAUCCCAAGAAAGGCAGGGCAUCUGCCGGCACAAAAACCCCAAGAAAUUUAACAAAAUCUCUCAACACCCUUUGGCAAAGUCGCCCCUCUUUUUCAUCACAAUCAGUUGCCAUACCGAAGAUUCGUUUUCCGACCACCAUUUGAAGGACCAUGUUGAGCGUUAGGUCUCCGAACCACUUCUUCAUUUCCAUCAAAACAUGGCCGGAAGGGUCCGAAUUUUUGUUUUCAGUCCAAAGCUUAUAAAGCUCCUUUACAGAGGUCUCAACCUCGGCCGCUCUUAUGUGCUUCAGCUGCUCAAGGCGUCGGUUGGAGAGCAAUUCUGUGGAAAUAAGUUUGCGAAUGUCGCGCCAGUAGGGACCAUAGGGAGUAAAAGCAAGCAAAAAGUUGUUGUAGCCCAAGUGUUUGGCGGCUCGAGACUUGGGACGAGAAGAAAUGUGAACGUCGUGGGCAGUGGUGAGUUCUUUGGCCAAUUUCCAGUCGCUAAUCACCAAACCUCUAUGCACACCGAUCCGAAUAGUGAAGGCCGGUCCAUACUUCUCAGCCAUGUCUCCUAGGACAAUAUGAGGAAGGCUAGAGCCGCUGAAGAUAUGAAGGUGGCCUAUAAUUGGCCACGCCCCACCUGCUUCUGGCGGCAAUCUUCGUGUCUGGGAUUUGGCAUUGCCAGAGACAUAAUGAGUAACUACAUACAAAGCAAUUGCUACGACAACAAUGGACGGGUUAAGGUAUUUUAGGAGUUCCAUAUUUGGCUCUUCUUUAAAUUAUCACUGCGGCUUAAUGAAUGGGUUAUAUUAUAUAGGGAUAUUUAGAGCUUUCUUAAAUAGUACGGAGUAAAUAAAACGAAAAAACAAUAAUAUAUUUUAGAACGCAAAUCAUGUUUGUUUGACUUUAGAGCACCACAACCUAUUAGCUAGCUUGCUGAUUUACUGACAUGCUAAUGCCCUUAUUUGAUUGGAUUAGCUUAGAUUUUACGAAUUGCAUUCAAAAUUGCAAUAUAUUUUGAUGUUACCGAAA